GAUGAACGCUGGCAGCGUGCCUAAUACAUGCAAGUCGAGCGAACAGACGAGGAGCUUGCUCCUCUGACGUUAGCGGCGGACGGGUGAGUAACACGUGGAUAACCUACCUAUAAGACUGGGAUAACUUCGGGAAACCGGAGCUAAUACCGGAUAAUAUAUUGAACCGCAUGGUUCAAUAGUGAAAGACGGUUUUGCUGUCACUUAUAGAUGGAUCCGCGCCGCAUUAGCUAGUUGGUAAGGUAACGGCUUACCAAGGCAACGAUGCGUAGCCGACCUGAGAGGGUGAUCGGCCACACUGGAACUGAGACACGGUCCAGACUCCUACGGGAGGCAGCAGUAGGGAAUCUUCCGCAAUGGGCGAAAGCUUGACGGAGCAACGCCGCGUGAGUGAUGAAGGUCUUCGGAUCGUAAAACUCUGUUAUUAGGGAAGAACAAAUGUGUAAGUAACUAUGCACGUCUUGACGGUACCUAAUCAGAAAGCCACAGCUAACUACGUG
RNAcentral lists this ribosomal RNA (497 nucleotides) under uncultured bacterium. RNAcentral describes it as "partial 16S ribosomal RNA". It matches the Rfam family "Bacterial small subunit ribosomal RNA", at positions 28 to 507 of the family's 1533-position model. The record is from RNAcentral.